GCCCUUAUAGCUCAAUGGUAGAGCAUUAGUCUUGUAAACUAAAGAUUUGAAGUUCAAUCCUGCAUGAGGGCA
Molecule: non-coding RNA, 72 nt
Organism: Cucurbita moschata (crookneck pumpkin)
Lineage: Eukaryota; Viridiplantae; Streptophyta; Magnoliopsida; Cucurbitales; Cucurbitaceae
Source: the annotation of a RefSeq genome assembly